Molecule: ribosomal RNA, 522 nt
Filed under: uncultured Glomus
Lineage: Eukaryota; Fungi; Glomeromycota; Glomeromycetes; Glomerales; Glomeraceae
Description: SSU rRNA
Rfam family: Eukaryotic small subunit ribosomal RNA
Source: RNAcentral
AGCAGCCGCGGUAAUUCCAGCUCCAAUAGCGUAUAUUAAAGUUGUUGCAGUUAAAAAGCUCGUAGUUGAAUUUCGGGAUCAAUAUGUCGGUCGUGCCUUCGGUACGUACUGGUAUCAUUGGUCUCUCCUUUCUGACGAACCAUGAUGUCAUUAAUUUGGUGUUAUGGGGAGUUAGGACUGUUACUUUGAAAAAAUUAGAGUGUUUAAAGCAGGCUUUAGCUUGAAUACAUUAGCAUGGAAUAAUGAAAUAGGACGUUCGAACCUAUUUUGUUGGUUUCUAGGAUCAACGUAAUGAUUAAUAGGGAUAGUUGGGGGCAUUAGUAUUCAAUUGUCAGAGGUGAAAUUCUUGGAUUUAUUGAAGACUAACUACUGCGAAAGCAUUUGCCAAGGAUGUUUUCAUUAAUCAAGAACGAAAGUUAGGGGAUCGAAGACGGUCAGAUACCGUCGUAGUCUUAACCAUAAACUAUGCCGACUAGGGAUCGGAUGAUGUUAAUUUUUUAAUGACUCAUUCGGCGCCUUACG